This is a non-coding RNA of Parasteatoda tepidariorum (common house spider), 274 nucleotides long. Lineage: Eukaryota; Metazoa; Arthropoda; Arachnida; Araneae; Theridiidae. The record is from RefSeq and is a predicted model, not a curated record.
UGUGUGAGCAAACUUUUUCGCCAAAGCAAUUGGCGUUGUUUAAACAAAAGCUAUUGUUAGAGGAAGCCAUUUUCUGUAUUUGGCUGCGCGGGAUUUUAUAUUUUAUCAUCAUAAAAGUUUUAAUUACAGGUGAUUCCCUGGAGAAGUAUUUGGCUAAUUACUUAAAUGCUGAAUGAAAAUGGGAUAUCGAUGUUUGCACACCCUGGAAUCGGUGUGGACAAAUUAAGUGUGCAGUUGUGAAGGGACGAUUGUGUUUUUGUCUUAAUUCAUGUUG